GAUCCUGCUCAGAUUGAACGCUGGCGGCAGGCUUAACACAUGCAAGUCGAACGGUAACAGGAGAAAGCUUGCUUUCUUGCUGACGAGUGGCGGACGGGUGAGUAAUGCUUGGGAAUCUGGCUUAUGGAGGGGGAUAACGACGGGAAACUGUCGCUAAUACCGCGUAGAGUCGAGAGACGAAAGUGCGGGACCGCAAGGCCGCAUGCCAUAGGAUGAGCCCAAGUGGGAUUAGGUAGUUGGG
RNAcentral lists this ribosomal RNA (241 nucleotides) under uncultured bacterium. RNAcentral describes it as "partial 16S ribosomal RNA". It matches the Rfam family "Bacterial small subunit ribosomal RNA", at positions 15 to 253 of the family's 1533-position model. The record is from RNAcentral.